GGGAUAGCGCCAACGAUGGUGAGUUGGGACGGACUGUAAAUCCGUUGCCUUUAGGCUUAGUAGGUUCGAAUCCUACCUAUCCCA
Molecule: transfer RNA, 84 nt
Filed under: Bacteriophage sp.
Also listed under: 1 other name
Description: tRNA-Tyr
Rfam family: tRNA
About the family: Transfer RNA (tRNA) molecules are approximately 80 nucleotides in length. Their secondary structure includes four short double-helical elements and three loops (D, anti-codon, and T loops).
Source: RNAcentral